GGAUUAGAUACCCUGGUAGUCCACGCUGUAAACGAUGAUCACUCGAUAUGCGUCUUUCGAGAUGCGUGUCCAAGCGAAAGCAUUAAGUGAUCCACCUGGGGAGUACGUUCGCAAGAAUAAAACUUAAAGGAAUUGACGGGGAUCCGCACAAGCGGUGGAGCAUGUGGUUUAAUUCGAUACUACGCGAGGAACCUUACCUAGGCUACAAUGCAUAUUGACCCAUCCAGAAAUGGAUGUUUCCGCAAGGACAAUUUGCAAGGUGCUGCAUGGCUGUCGUCAGCUCGUGCUG
RNAcentral lists this ribosomal RNA (289 nucleotides) under uncultured bacterium. RNAcentral describes it as "partial 16S ribosomal RNA". It matches the Rfam family "Bacterial small subunit ribosomal RNA", at positions 775 to 1067 of the family's 1533-position model. The record is from RNAcentral.